GGCCCGUUCAUCUAGGGGUUAGGAUAUCAGGUUUUCAUCCUGGAAACAGGGGUUCGAUUCCCCUACGGGCUACGA
RNAcentral lists this transfer RNA (75 nucleotides) under Marivirga lumbricoides. RNAcentral's name for it is "tRNA-Glu". It matches the Rfam family "tRNA". From Rfam's summary of the family: Transfer RNA (tRNA) molecules are approximately 80 nucleotides in length. Their secondary structure includes four short double-helical elements and three loops (D, anti-codon, and T loops). The record is from RNAcentral. Lineage: Bacteria; Pseudomonadati; Bacteroidota; Cytophagia; Cytophagales; Marivirgaceae.